This 459-nucleotide ribosomal RNA is filed under the name uncultured bacterium. RNAcentral's name for it is "partial 16S ribosomal RNA". It matches the Rfam family "Bacterial small subunit ribosomal RNA", at positions 338 to 795 of the family's 1533-position model. The record is from RNAcentral.
CCUACGGGAGGCAGCAGUGAGGAAUAUUGGUCAAUGGCCGAGAGGCUGAACCAGCCAAGUCGCGUGAGGGAAGACGGCCCUACGGGUUGUAAACCUCUUUUGACGGGGAGAAAAUAGAACUACGUGUGGAUCAGUGAGAGUACCCGAAGAAAAAGCAUAGGCUAACUCCGUGACAGCAGCGGCGGUAAUACGGAGGAUGCGAGCGUUAACCGGAUUUAUUGGGGUAAAAGGGUGCGCAGGGGGUUGUGCAAGUUAGCGGUAAAAUUUCGGGGCUUAACCCCGUACUGCCAUUAAGACUGCAUCCCUUGAGUGCACGAGAGGUAUGCGGAAUGCGUGGUGUAGCGGUGAAAUGCUUAGAUAUAACGCAGAACUCCGAUUGCGAAGGCAGCUAACCGGCCCGCAACUGACGCUGAUGCACGAAAGCAUGGGUAUCGAACAGGAUUAGAUACCCUUGUAGUC